This 248-nucleotide ribosomal RNA is filed under the name uncultured Oscillibacter sp. RNAcentral's name for it is "partial 16S ribosomal RNA". It matches the Rfam family "Bacterial small subunit ribosomal RNA", at positions 524 to 771 of the family's 1533-position model. Lineage: Bacteria; Bacillati; Bacillota; Clostridia; Eubacteriales; Oscillospiraceae. The record is from RNAcentral.
UACGUAGGGGGCGAGCGUUAUCCGGAUUUACUGGGUGUAAAGGGCGUGCAGCCGGGUCUGCAAGUCAGAUGUGAAAGGCGUGGGCUUAACCCAUGGACGGCAUUUGAAACUGCGGGUCUUGAGUACCGGAGAGGUCAUCGGAAUUCCUAGUGUAGCGGUGAAAUGCAUAGAUAUCACGCAGAACUCCGAUUGCGAAGGCAGCAUACCGGCGCCCAACUGACGCUCAUGCACGAAAGCGUGGGUAUCGA